Papaver somniferum (opium poppy) is the source of this 519-nucleotide long non-coding RNA. RefSeq lists it as uncharacterized. NCBI's taxonomy places the organism in Eukaryota, Viridiplantae, Streptophyta, Magnoliopsida, Ranunculales, Papaveraceae. The record is from RefSeq and is a predicted model, not a curated record. The transcript has 3 exons.
UUAACUCAGCAGUGCUUCUCUCUUCCCCAUGACCCAACCUCGUUUGUUUCCUUUCGCUCUGUGUGUGAUCUUCAUAGUGAUUAGAAAGUGUGGGAGUUCGGAGAAGAUCUGAUGUGGGUACUAUUUUGUGUAUUUCAUACCCGAAUCUCUUGUCCAAUUUGAUUCAUGAACACCCAAUGGCGUUCAGGAGGCCAUUUCUUGGUAUAUUGAUUUUAUCAAAUGCACUUCGAAGCUUCAAUUCAAAUAGGUCAGCUUGAUCCCAACUUUGUGUCGGAAGAAGACUACAUGGAUUAUGCUUCACCAACCCCAGUGAUUUGAAACAGAGGGAUCUCUUUGGUUUCUUAAUUAAGAGAUCACUCCUCCCCUGUAUCCCUAGAUACAAAGCAGAGAAGAGAAGAAUGUCAGCACCUUUCUCACCUUUUACAAAUUUAGCAAGAAAUGGAGACUGUAGUAGGUGUGCUGCAACCAGGACCUUUGGGUAUUAUUGAACACAAGUUCUCCGCAGAAGAAGUACGUCAA